CAAUAGCGUAUAUUAAAGUUGUUGCAGUUAAAAGCUCGUAGUUGGAUUUCUGGCAGGAGCGACCGGUCGCACGCUAUGCGUGUGAACUUGUGUUGUCUCUGGCCAUCCUUGGGGAGAUCCCGUUUGGCAUUAAGUUGUCGGGCGGGGGAUACCCAUCGUUUACUGUGAAAAAUUAGAGUGUUUAAGCAGGCUUAUGCCGUUGAAUAUAUUAGCAUGGAAUAACACUAUAGGACUCCUGUCCUAUUUCGUUGGUCUCGGGACGGGAGUAAUGAUUAAGAGGAACAGUUGGGGGGCAUUCGUAUUUCAUUGUCAGAGGUGAAAUUCUUGGAUUUAUGAAAGACGAACUUCUGCGAAAGCAUUUGCCAAGGAUGUUUUCAUUAAUCAAGAACGAAAGUUGGGGGCUCGAAGAUGAUUAGAUACCG
This 422-nucleotide ribosomal RNA is filed under the name uncultured eukaryote. RNAcentral's name for it is "bacterial SSU rRNA". It matches the Rfam family "Eukaryotic small subunit ribosomal RNA", at positions 592 to 1017 of the family's 1831-position model. The record is from RNAcentral.